GACGAACGCUGGCGGCGUGCUUAACACAUGCAAGUCGAACGAAGAGCGACGGAAGCUUGCUUCUAUCAAUCUUAGUGGCGAACGGGUGAGUAACGCGUAAUCAACCUGCCCUUCAGAGGGGGACAACAGUUGGAAACGACUGCUAAUACCGCAUACGAUCUAAUCUCGGCAUCGAGGAUGGAUGAAAGGUGGCCUCUACAUGUAAGCUAUCACUGAAGGAGGGGAUUGCGUCUGAUUAGCUAGUUGGAGGGGUAACGGCCCACCAAGGCGAUGAUCAGUAGCCGGUCUGAGAGGAUGAACGGCCACAUUGGGACUGAGACACGGCCCAGACUCCUACGGGAGGCAGCAGUGGGGAAUCUUCCGCAAUAGACGAAAGUCUGACGGAGCAACGCCGCGUGAGUGAUGACGGCCGUCGGGUUGUAAAGCUCUGUUAAUCGGGACGAAAGGCCUUCUUGCGAAUAGUGAGAAGGAUUGACGGUACCGGAAUAGAAAGCCACGGCUAACUACGUG
This 510-nucleotide ribosomal RNA is filed under the name uncultured bacterium. Its description in RNAcentral is "partial 16S ribosomal RNA". It matches the Rfam family "Bacterial small subunit ribosomal RNA", at positions 28 to 507 of the family's 1533-position model. The record is from RNAcentral.